Molecule: long non-coding RNA, 956 nt
Filed under: Anas platyrhynchos platyrhynchos (common mallard)
Lineage: Eukaryota; Metazoa; Chordata; Aves; Anseriformes; Anatidae
Description: lncRNA (ENSAPLG00000022918.1)
Source: RNAcentral
GGGAAAAGCAUCCUUUCCUUUUCUGUUGAUAGUGUUCUAUUCUGCACACUCCACUAGAAGUGAAAACUGAUUUUCGCUGUUGUUUUCAUUGUUGUUUCACUUAUACAUUUUGCUCUGGCAGUUUCCUCAGGCGUAGAGUAAAGGUUUGGUUUGGCUUGUUUCUUUGGUUUCAUUGUUUCUUUUUGUUGUUAUUGUUUUUGUCUUGUUUGCUUGUUUUCUUUGUUUUAAGUGUGUGGCAUUUGGAGCAUGUCUCUUGAGCUUAAUUUUGCUAAAAGCUUAUUGGCCAAAUCAGCCUAAAAAGUCUUCCUUUCAGAUUAAAGAGUUGUGUAUGAAAACAUUGUAGGUAAAAUUCCAACCUGGUUUUCCAGCUGCUAUAAGUAUUUCAUUUAUGCUUUUCUAUAGAAAAAUAGCUCUAUUACUCAUUUUAGGUGGAAUAUCAGAAGCUAAGGUGGAACAUUGUGAAGAAGACAGCUGUGGACAAGACUCGAGUCAAUGAUGAGAAAUGAAAUUCUCUGUAGGAUCACAGAAAAUAAGGCUGGAGGAGUUGAGAGAUGCUAUAAGUCAUCCUUUCCAUCCCCAAUGUAGAUCAGCUAAAUCCUGGGCCAUUCCUCAUGGUUGCCUCAACGUUCCUGAAAACAAGACAAUUUCCACUGUGCAUAAAAUAGCCUGAGUCAGGAGCAUCAGAUCAGAGAUCACCUUUUUGCACCCAGCUGCUGAAGCUGUCAUCGUACUCUGGGUACAUUUAUUUAACCAAAGUAACAGGGCAGUGAUCGCUGCAGAGAACUGGAACUUCCUUUCUUCAUUCAAAGAACUAAAGUUGCUAUUGUUGUAAAAAUAUCGAACUAAUUCUUUUCCACCAAAGGAACACUAGGUAAGAUAAAUAAUGUUAUUUCUCCUUUUUCAGAAGGGUCUAAUCCAAAGUAGUUCAAUAAAUUUGUUAAGUGGCUAUGACUUCA